Molecule: long non-coding RNA, 1297 nt
Organism: Triticum aestivum (bread wheat)
Lineage: Eukaryota; Viridiplantae; Streptophyta; Magnoliopsida; Poales; Poaceae
Exons: 8
Source: RefSeq, a predicted model, not a curated record
GUCUACUUCGGCGCAACGUGUCGGGGGACGGAGAGGCGUGGUGGCGCGGGGCCAACGCGCGCGAGCGUACUCGAGAGAGAGGAAAAUACCAAUGUGUGCGCGCGGGUGCUAACCCUACCUGUGAAUUGACCGAGGGCUCUGCCCCAGGCCCAGGAGCCGCCUCCCCCAUCUUUCCGUCCUGACACAGGCGGAUCUGGAUCAGGCUUCCCUCAUCCCCUACCCUCGUUCAUCCUCCUGCCGGCGGCCAUGGCGCCGCGCCCGCCGCUCGUCCGGCCGCCCUUCUCGCCUCGACCCGCUACCCAUGCCCUUCUGGCGCCCCUCUGUAAUCGGCAGUUGAUGCACGCGAGACGCGUCCAUGGAAUCAUGCCGCUCGCCGACGGCAGAUCGAGCGCCGUCGUCGAUCCGCGAGCUCCGUGCCGUUUCCUGGCGGCCAAGAGCACCUUCCGCCAACGGCCAGCAGUGCAUGCAAUCGCCGGCUUGGAUAUUUCAUCCAGCUGACUGCGCCGUGUAGGUCUCUAAGCUUGCAUGGUGUUUCCUAGCUCUGGAGAUCGACAAAUCCAUCUGCGACGAGGAGCUAAUUGCAUACCCAUCCACCGAUUUUAUCCUCUGCAGCCCGCUUGCUAUUUAGAGUUCAUGCUGCUCCUCUCUGCCAUGCCACCGUAGCAGUGGAAGAGAGAUACCCAAAGGAGAGCGCGAGCACGGUGGCAUCAAAUAUGUCGAUGAACAAAGGAUAUAUCCAUGGUAGUUUGGUUGUCACCUGUCGGUGAGCUCUAGACGGGAAGUGACUUUCGACAAGGUGUGCAGUUAUCGUCGGUAGGGGGGAAGCUCGUCUCCAUGGUAGCCGGCGGUGCUCAUGGCGGUCCGUGCCGUUUCCCCUCGUCGUCCGGUGAGAAACAUCUUUUGCCGACGGCCAAAGGUGCAUGGCUGGCAUGGCUGCCCUUUUCGUAGCCAUAUAAUCGGUAGCAGCGCCUGACUUGACACAUCUAUCUAUCCAUCCUCGAGCCUCUACAACCAGGGGGUCAUGACAAUUUGGCGCCGUAGCGGUGGGAGAGCAAUACAAGAAGGAGGUUGCACGGUGGGAUCAAUGUCGACGCAAACGAGCUAUAUGAUGCCCUUUUUGUUAAUUUCUAAAGUAGUGGUUGUCCGCGAGCUCCAGACGAGAAGUAACUUGCUACAAGGAGGUGGUUGAACCGGAAAUUCUAACCGACCCUAUUGUCGAGAGGUUAAAUUUAGUUGAAGAAGAAAACAAUUACUUGAAGGAAAAAAUAAAAAAAAUUGAGGAGAAGAAGGUGAUAUU